CUCCCCUCUGCCGCAGCCCAGCUCCUAGCGCGUCAGCGUGGGCUUCCCGGAGCGAGUCGCUAGGUAACAGGGCUGGCUCCGCAGACCCGGGCCAGGGAAGCCCGCGCGCGUCGUCAGCAUCUGCGCCGCGGGGCGGGGGACUCACGGACCCUCCCCAAUCCGGACCUGCAGACCCCCUGAACUGGCUCGCGGUCCCCUCCCUGGAUGCCUUAAGGGUGCUGUUGAGCUGCCCCUCCCCCGCGGGGACCCCGACGUCGCCGCCCCCUCCUUCUCCCCCGCUGGUGCGCACCACUCUCCCCGCGGCCAGGUGGGCGACCCUCCGCUGCGGUUGCGGUGGCGGCCGAGAUCUUCCCUCCCAGCCCAGGCGCGGGGCAUGAAGAGCCCCCGGGUAUCGCCUGCGGACAACCCAGCCACGCGCACACCUCGCCAGCGGCUGACGGGGACAUGAGCAGCACGAUCGGGCUCCGGUGCUGGGCGACCAGCCUCAGCCGGCAGCGGCCAGUGGGUCCUUGCUGCCUGGGAGAAUGAGGCAGGAACCCGCGGCCACCUCUCUCUCUUCCUUCUUCUCGCCUUCCUCUGGCUCCCGCGCCCCAGGCCCGGGCCAGGCUGUGGCUCUGCUGCGUGCCCUGCGCGCCCCCCACCUGCCUCCGGAUGCUCUUCUCGGUUAGCCUGGCGAGGAAGAUAAAGACAUUUGCAACCAAGAUGGUAAUCACGAGUGGAAAUGAUGAAGACCGGGGAGGCCAAGAGAAGGAGAGCAAAGAAGAGAGCGUGCUGGCCAUGCUGGGCAUCAUUGGGACCAUCCUGAACCUGAUCGUCAUCAUCUUCGUAUACAUAUAUACCACCCUGUGAAUGGCCCCACGCAGCCUCGGCGGCCUCAAGAUGGCCACGAGACACAGGUCCUGUGUGUCCACAUAUCGGUGACCGGACACAGCAGGGGGCCAGUGGGUUUGAAGACCACACACUGCUUCAUCAAUGCACCUUCGAACUUUCUAGUAGGUCACCAAAUGAACCCAUCCUGCUGUGAGGAGCAGACACUCUGAAGCACAAUGAAUCCAACAAAACUCAUUCAGGCCACGAGGAACUCAGCGUCUCUGACUGGGCGCCUGACGGGAUGCUGGAAAGACCAGCCUUCGGCACUAGUGGUGAGCAAACGAGUGAGGAAAUGCCUCAUCCUGGAGUGCUGACCACAUCCCGUAAUGGAAAGGAGGAUGAGCCGAGCAGAUGCAGCUCAGCUGCCCACCUCCUGGGACCAGCUCUAGGGGUGGUCCGCUCACAGGCAUCCCAUUCAUCAGAUGUUUCCAGCUGUUUGAUACGGGAGAUAACUUAUUUUUCAUUUUUCAUUGGCUUGAUGUGUGUAUCUGUUCAUAUCAAGGUAUAUAAAUAUAUAUUUUUAAUAAAUGUGCUCUAUUUUUUAGCAUGAACCAAAUAUUUGGAGAAGCGCUUCUGGAUCCAUAGCCUUUCUUGGUUUUAAUCGCUUUGCUCCAUCAACCACAGGACAUCUUUUUCUGUAGCUUUCCAGUUGUCUCAGCUCAUCUCAACUCUUUUGCCUUCAUGCUCUUCUCUCUCCCCAUCUCUGCCCCUCCGUUUUCUCCUCUCAUUCCUCUUCCCCUCUCUUCUCCCCUUCUCUCCCCUCUCUUGUCUUCCCUCCCAUUCUCCUCUCCUCCUCUCCACUCCUCUCCACUUCUCUCCCAUUCUCUCCUCAUCUCUUGUCUAGAGGACAUUUUUCUGUAAUACCAGCCAUGGUCUUGGCUGGUGCAUGUUUCAAGAUUGUCGAGCGGCUUUUCGUUGUUCUGUCAGAGAUCUAAAAUGAUUGUGGGCAUGCAGACCUUAGAUGCACCCUGUCUUUCGUGAGAAUUAUGCAUGAACAAGGGCUGAGUGACAGAUCAGCUUUCCACAUAUUUUGAAAGGACUACCACUAAGGAAGAUGAGCGUGGCCCUGCCUGCAGGUCACCCGUGGGAUGGAGCAGUCAGUAGCUCACUGGCAGUGGUGCUCAUUCACUCCUGUAACCAUUCUUUUAUCAGAUUUUGAUUUUUUUGUGACUGUGAGAGAUGGGAAUGUGUUAAGCUCAAUGUGUGCCAUCCCUUCUUUGGUGAGAUGCCUAGGGGGUGGUCUCUUCAGAAGUCGGUGGGAUGUGAAUGAUGGGAAACCUCCCCACUGUAAGCACGCAUUCACAGUCAGUUCCUGCUGUAAAGAUGCCUCUGUGACAAGUGACCCUUCAAGGGCAUUCGCAGGGGACUUAACGAUCUCUGUAAAGGACCCCUUGCACAUUUUAAAGCUGGUUUCCACCCACAUGAAGCUGUUUUCUCUCUGAGGGGGCGGUUGAAUAAAUACAAAUUUGCCCUGCUCCCUGGCUCCCUAACAUAGCCCCCAGCCUGGCUGCCAUGGACGGCCUUAAGGAGAGGGUCAGUGUUCAUUCCACCCCUGGCAGAAACAGCAACAGCCUGCCCCAGUGGAUUCUGAUGAUACACACCGAGGGGGUCUCUGCCUAACCCCCUUCCUUAAAUGACACCAAGAAGGAGUCAUUUCUAGGGCUCCACUAAGGGACCAGUUUCUCUUAUAAAUCAAAUACCCGUGAGCACCUGGCUCUGGCCAGAGGUGUCUCCAUUUCCCCACCAGAAGGAAGGACACUUUGUACACAAGCCACCGGGGCCCUCUUAGUUGCCUGAGAGAAAGAGCCUCUCACCUGUGAAGAAACAAGGACAGCUCAGACCAGGAAUCUUCCCCGAGAUUACCUGGCACCCAGUGGAGUCAGGUCCUAGCCCCAGCCUGUCCAGUUCCUUAUCCCAGCGAGGGAAAGGCUAUUGUUUUGCGGAGGGCCAGCUCUGCAUACCUCCCUACCCCUCCCCCAUAACAGGAAACAACCUGAGAACUUCUUGGACACUGGCAGAAUAGGACACAAAGACAGCAGGGAAAGGCUAAUUAGAAAUGUGAGAGCCGUCUAGGGGAGAGCGCUACCUACAGGCUGUGUGAUUCGGAAAAACUGUAAUUCUGGACAGUGCACAAUAAAGGUGCCAUGGGGAAAAACA
Long non-coding RNA from Peromyscus californicus insignis, 3027 nucleotides. RefSeq lists it as uncharacterized. NCBI's taxonomy places the organism in Eukaryota, Metazoa, Chordata, Mammalia, Rodentia, Cricetidae. The transcript is spliced from 3 exons. The record is from RefSeq and is a predicted model, not a curated record.